Molecule: long non-coding RNA, 182 nt
Organism: Papaver somniferum (opium poppy)
Lineage: Eukaryota; Viridiplantae; Streptophyta; Magnoliopsida; Ranunculales; Papaveraceae
Exons: 3
Source: RefSeq, a predicted model, not a curated record
AUACCUACUUCUUAGUGUCUCACACUUUUUAAUUGCUGUAACAGAUGGAUCGUGACUUAGAUUACGCGAUUAAACAUUUAGCAAGGAAUGGUGUUCUGAUUGACUUCCAUGAUAUGAAGCCGAUUGAGGACCGGCUGAUUGUGACUGAUUUGGGGAAGAAAAAAUACGUCGCUACUCCCGAG